UUUUAUUUAAUAUUUCUUUCCACGUACUUUCUUCUUGUCUACAUAUUUGUACGACGCGUAAUUAGAUCGGUCGUAAGUUUCUACGCCGCUAUAAAUAUCAAGAUUAUUAGUAGACAGGAUAGUAAUAAAACGACGCAAUCAUCGAACGUAAUCACUGGUAGGCAAGAAACACGAAUUUCUUGGAAUCACGAGUCGGAAAAGAUUUAGAAACGGUGGUGAUUAACCGUACCGAAUACCAGUCGUCGAGUUUUGCUACAUUUUGUUUUGGGAAUGGCAUCGAUUCACCUAACUCGUUCGUUCCAAGUUUUAUUCGAAACGUUUUACCGAAUAACGCAUAGUUUAGCGGAUAUCCGCGUGAAUCGAUUAAGACGGGACACCCUGUAUAUUGCUGGCAUUAUAUACGCGAACCGACAGAUAAGAAAAAUGGCGACAAAGGUGUUUCAUGCAUAUAAGGCAGCUCGACGAUGGAAAAUAGUAUACACACGUGCGCGAUUAUGCAUGUAACGAUGGCGGUAAAGCAACUGCUCAGCCCGAUUCCGCAUAAUCGAAGGGUUGGAAAAUUACAAUGCAGCCGGCUGGCGCAACAUUUUCGAGCUUGGCUCGUAAAAGAACGCGAAU
This 618-nucleotide unclassified non-coding RNA is filed under the name Bombus terrestris (buff-tailed bumblebee). Its description in RNAcentral is "misc RNA ENSBTSG00005024845.1". Lineage: Eukaryota; Metazoa; Arthropoda; Insecta; Hymenoptera; Apidae. The record is from RNAcentral.